CAUGGGUUACAAAUAAAACUGGUUUUAACUCCUACAGAUUUUCUAGUUGUGGAUCCUAUUCCUAUCCAGAGGUAUCUAGGUACGUAACAAACUUUACAAGCAUUCGCAGCAACAUCCCUCUUUUUAAAGCUAGCCACUUGUCUAACCUCCUGUGAAGGCCACCGUCCCACAGAAUUUUUACAUUUACAUUUACAAUACAAUUCUUUACAUUUACAGUUACAAUGUUUUUCAUGAAAUUUUCAAGCUAGUUUUAGCUAGUCCUCCAUUUAGCUAGUCCUUCUCAACUUAGAUGACAGCUUUAAAUCCAAAAUACACAUUACACUUGGUAUACUAAUAGCAAACCAGUAGGUUUGAUAACAAAUUUGUUCCUUUUGCCUUGUUUCCUCUCCACAUAGCAACAUGAGAGGUUCUUCACCCACAGAUGAAAAUGCUGUAACUGAAACAGCCCCAGCUGUCUGAGCUGGUAGAGAUGCUUUGAGCUUCCUAUCGAGAAAAUAUGAGAAGAUUGCUUCCCGUGAAGAGCUACACAAGUUCAUGAAGAGUCCCUUCAGCUCCAUACCAAGACUGAGUGUUUCCUAUUCACAGUGGGAUACCUGUUGCCAUUAGGCAACAGAACUAUGUUCAUAGAAGAGGUUCUGUAUUUUGAUACAUAUAUCCUUUUCAGUAGGAUCUAGUGGAUAGCAACAAUACCCAGAAGAUACACUGAGUACCUCACUGGAAUGAUUCUGACAAGGAAAAUGGCACUGAGGCAAAAAAGCCCUUAAGGUCUGGUCAGCUUGAAAAUUAUCAAAGGAGCUGUUCACCAUGGCCAAUGAGAUGUUUGAGGAACAUACCACUUAAUUUCUACUUCAAGAGCUCCAGAAGAGA
Molecule: long non-coding RNA, 867 nt
Organism: Cygnus olor (mute swan)
Lineage: Eukaryota; Metazoa; Chordata; Aves; Anseriformes; Anatidae
Exons: 3
Source: RefSeq, a predicted model, not a curated record